Molecule: unclassified non-coding RNA, 137 nt
Filed under: uncultured Hypocreales
Lineage: Eukaryota; Fungi; Ascomycota; Sordariomycetes; Hypocreales
Description: sequence contains ITS2
Source: RNAcentral
UGACCAAUCAAGCCUGGCUUGGUGUUGGGGUUCGCGGUCUCGCGGCUCUUAAAAUCAGUGGCGGUGCCGCCUGGCUCUAAGCGUAGUAACUUUCUCGCUAUUGGGUCUGGUGGUUGCUUGCCAAAAAUCAAUCUCAC